GAGUUUGAUCCUGGCUCAGAGCGAACGCUGGCGGCAGGCUUAACACAUGCAAGUCGAACGGGCACUUCGGUGCUAGUGGCAGACGGGUGAGUAACACGUGGGAACGUACCUUUCGGUUCGGAAUAAUACAGGGAAACUUGUACUAAUACCGGAUACGCCCUUCGGGGAAGAUUUAUCGCCGAUUGAUCGGCCGCGUCUGAUUAGCUAGUUGGUGAGGUAAUGGCUCACCAAGGCGACGAUCAGUAGCUGGUCUGAGAGGAUGAUCAGCCACACUGGGACUGAGACACGGCCCAGACUCCUACGGGAGGCAGCAGUGGGGAAUAUUGGACAAUGGGCGCAAGCCUGAUCCAGCCAUGCCGCGUGUGUGAUGAAGGCC
Molecule: ribosomal RNA, 376 nt
Filed under: uncultured microorganism
Description: bacterial SSU rRNA
Rfam family: Bacterial small subunit ribosomal RNA
Source: RNAcentral